AGCUCCAAUAGCGUAUACUAACGUUGUUGCAGUUAAAAAGCUCGUAGUUGGAUUUCUGUGUGGGUCAGCCGGCCGGCGCUUAGGCGUUGUAGCUAGGUUUGCCCCGCGCAUCUUGUCGCAAUUGCCACUGGCAUUCACUUGUUGGUGUGCAGGACCGACUCGUUUACUUUGAGAAAAUUAGAGUGUUCAAAGCAGGCUAUUGCCUUGAAUAUGUUAGCAUGGAAUAAUGAUAUAG
This 235-nucleotide ribosomal RNA is filed under the name uncultured eukaryote. RNAcentral's name for it is "partial small subunit ribosomal RNA". It matches the Rfam family "Eukaryotic small subunit ribosomal RNA", at positions 587 to 825 of the family's 1831-position model. The record is from RNAcentral.